UCCGGUGGUUGGAGCGGUAUGGUACCACCCCUUCCUCGCCUCGCUGAAGCAAUUCGGCGAAGCGGUCCAUCCCGAACAGGGUCGUGAAACGUACCAGCGGCGACAAUAAUGCAUUCGCAAGGGUGUGUGAAGAUAGCUCAUCGCCGGAC
RNAcentral lists this ribosomal RNA (149 nucleotides) under bacterium. The record is from RNAcentral.